UCCCCUGUGGCUCAGCUGGUAGAGCAUGGUGUUUGCAAUGGCAGGGUUGUGGGUUCGAUUCCCACGGGGGAC
Salmo salar (Atlantic salmon) is the source of this 72-nucleotide non-coding RNA. The record is from Rfam. NCBI's taxonomy places the organism in Eukaryota, Metazoa, Chordata, Actinopteri, Salmoniformes, Salmonidae.